RNAcentral lists this small RNA (604 nucleotides) under Arabidopsis thaliana (thale cress). RNAcentral's name for it is "ATSL021550". The record is from RNAcentral. Lineage: Eukaryota; Viridiplantae; Streptophyta; Magnoliopsida; Brassicales; Brassicaceae.
AAAUUUCUUUUUUGAAUGACUUAAAAAAAAGUUUACCAUGACCAGACUUAACAUGACAUAUUGAAUUUGAUUUCUGAAAUUUGUUUCUUAGACUUUCUUCUUUUUUUGAACAAGAAGAUUUUUUUUUGACAUUAUUUGUUACUUAUUCUCUACUUACUUAAAAUGAAUAAAUAGACUCAUCAUCGUUUCGCCCAACAUCCAAAACCCAGUAUUGUAUAGGCCACGAAAAACAGCGAUCUCUGAAUAUAGAGUAUUCUUCUUGUUUAAAAGAUGCAAAUGAUUGUUGGUUCGACAAAUCGGAUUACAUGAAAGCAUUAUAGAUAACAGAACAAAAUUCAAACUUUGUCAAAACUAAUAAAAUGUUGGAUGGUGCGUAUUUGGAACAGGCUUGUCUAUGACCAAUGGCAGCAUAUGCAUUUGCCUAAGGUCCAAAUGCUCAAUUUAAAAAAUUGUUUAUGAUAAAAGGCACAAACUGAUUUUAAAACAACAUAUUUUACGUUAUAAACUAGAUAAGGCCGGCCCAAUUCGGAGGGUGUGAGAAAUAAAUAUAAUUUUGUAUCGAUAAUCUUUAUAUUCUAAAUAGUAUUCUAUAUUUUUCUUAAUA